This 427-nucleotide ribosomal RNA is filed under the name uncultured bacterium. RNAcentral's name for it is "partial 16S ribosomal RNA". It matches the Rfam family "Bacterial small subunit ribosomal RNA", at positions 354 to 796 of the family's 1533-position model. The record is from RNAcentral.
GUGGGGAAUAUUGGGCAAUGGGGGAAACCCUGACCCAGCGACGCCGCGUGAGGGAAGACGGCCUUCGGGUUGUAAACCUCUUUUGUACGGGAAGAAGGAAGUGACGGUACUGUACGAAUAAGUCCCGGCUAACUACGUGCCAGCAGCCGCGGUAAUACGUAGGGGACGAGCGUUGUCCGGAAUUACUGGGCGUAAAGGGCGCGCAGGCUGUGCUGCAAGUCAGCUGUGAAAUGUCUGGGCUUAACCCGGGCAUGCGGUUGAGACUGCAGUGCUGGAGUGCUGUAGAGGCAAGUGGAAUUCCCAGUGUAGCGGUGAAAUGCGUAGAUAUUGGGAAGAACACCGGUGGCGAAGGCGACUUGCUGGGCAGCAACUGACGCUGAGGCGCGAAAGCCAGGGGAGCAAACGGGAUUAGAAACCCUAGUAGUCC